Long non-coding RNA from Lycium barbarum (goji berry), 1666 nucleotides. RefSeq lists it as uncharacterized. The transcript has 5 exons. Lineage: Eukaryota; Viridiplantae; Streptophyta; Magnoliopsida; Solanales; Solanaceae. The record is from RefSeq and is a predicted model, not a curated record.
UCCAAAAAAAAUGUUUAGGGCGAAACUAAACACUUAUUAAAACUAAAGAGUCUUAAUGCUCUAUAGGUUUAUUACUUCUUACUCUGUCACCCCAAGGGCUCUGACCAGUAAAAUGCAGCGCCGGCAAGAAACCGAUCGCCACCGCAGCGUAGUGGUGGAACUACCACUCGACUGCGACGGCGCAUUCGAUCUGGAAAAAUCAGUAUGUAGCCACGGCUUAUUCAUGAUGGCUCCAAACCACUGGGACCCACUCUCCAAAACCCUAGAACGUCCGUUACGCCUAUCCGACAACGACGAUCUAAUCUCUUCUCGUCCGAAUAUAUCAACCCUCCGAUUCUCCUCAUUUACUCCUUCUACGUGUUUUCGGUACCGAUUCUCUUUCUGUUGUACACCAACGCUCUUUGCUGGGUCAAGUGAGGCGAAUGCUGAGAUUAUCGGUGGAAGAGAACAAAAGAGUGAAAGAGGUUCAGGAUAUUUGUGAAGAAGCAAAGGAGAGUGGAUUUGGGAGAGUGUUUAGAUCGCCGACAUUGUUUGAGGACAUGGUCAAGUGUAUGCUGCUCUGCAAUUGCCAGUGGUCAAGGACGUUGAGCAUGGCUGAGUCAUUAUGUGAGUUUCAGUUGGAGCUAAACUGUCCCUCGUCAGCUGCAUGCUUUCCUGUUGCAGAUAACUGAAAUCAGUUCAAGGGCGUAACUGCUGAAUCUGAGCAUUUCACUCCAAAAACACUAGCAGGAAAAGAAUCAAGGAAAAGAGCUGGAGCUUAUGGACGUUCCAGAAACUUGUUGGAGAGGCUUACAGAGGUCGAAGAAAUUUUCAUAGAUGAAGAGAAAUCGGAUGUAAGUGUGAAACCUGCAUUUCCAGAUGGUAAAGAGGUUUUUCUACAAAAAAGGGAUCUUUGUCAGGCUACUACAGAGGUUUGUGAAGUUAGUACAAGUGAAACAUUCAAUUCUGAUCCUUCAGAGGAUAGAGAGCUGAGCUUCAAUAAGCUUGGGAAUUUCCCUAGCCUGAAAGAAUUGGCAGGCCUUGAUGAGAGUUUUCUAGCAAAGCUUUGCGGUCUUGGCUAUAGAGCUGGGCGCAUUAUAAAGCUUGCUAAGGGCAUAGUUGAAGGCAGGAUUCAGCUCAAAAAACUUGAAGAAGCUUGUAGCAACCCAAGCUUGUCCAACUAUGAUAAAAUGGCUGAGCAACUGAGAGAAAUAGAUGGAUUUGGCCCUUUUACCUGUGCUAAUGUACUGGUAUGCUUUGGUUAGGCAUCUAAAACAGGUUCAUGCAAAAACCUCCACCACGAUUAAGACAGUUCAAACAGAUGUUGAAUGAAUUGGUGGGAAGUAUGAACCAUUUCAGUUCUUGGCAUAUUGGUCAGAAGUGUGGGACUUUUAUCAUGAAUGGUUUUGGUAAGUUACGCGAGAUGCCUCACUCUCAAUAUAAACUUAUUACUGCCGCAAAUAUGAGACCGAAAAGAAAUGUCAAAUGCAAGAAGUUGAAGUAAUCUCGGGGUAGAAGCUUGGCAUGUAACAUAAAAGGGAAAUGCUGAGAAGCUUGGCAUGUAACUUAAGAGUUCAGGCAUAAAUGGUUAAUGCUGAAUUUGCCUUUUAUUGAGAUUCAUUUUUUGUUCUGCACAUGAAUUAGUCUUUCAAUCUUCUAUAAAUUUAUCUAGCAACUGUUUCCUGCU